This 370-nucleotide long non-coding RNA is filed under the name Panax ginseng (ginseng). RNAcentral's name for it is "long non-coding RNA (PGIN_LNC006567)". Lineage: Eukaryota; Viridiplantae; Streptophyta; Magnoliopsida; Apiales; Araliaceae. The record is from RNAcentral.
AUUGUCUUCAUGAAUCCUUUGCUUAUGGCCAUGCAAGUCUCCUGCGUUUCGACAGCUUUAAUAAUUACCUUGGUGGCCUCUAUCCUUGCUUCCUUGGCCAAUCCUAUUUGAUCAAAAAAAUUUCUGAACUUUGCCCCGUUCAUCAAUGCCGUCACUUACAGACCUGGAUCACACUCCUCCUUUUCUUCCAUCAUCAUCUCCACUUCUGGGAUUGUGUUAUGGAUAACAGUGUUGCAUGUUUCUUUCCCCUUGUGGUUUGGCAGUGGCUUGUCGUGAACACUGCUUUCCUUUCCCAGUUCAAUUUCCCCAUUUGUCAGCUUCUCAUGGUAUAUCAUUCGCAGGCUGUAACAAUCCAUAGUGGAAUGUCCCG